AGGAUAUUCUAAAUAGAGACAACAUCUUUAAAAGGCAUGGACAGGGUCUGCACCUGGAGACUCCCACCUAAGAUGGGGGUUUAGAUGAGACCACUCUGGGAGGACACGCAGCCGAGUGUGGAGGCCCCGAGGAAGAUCAGCUCUGAAGACACAGGCAGGCAAAGGGCAGACCUCGAAGGAGAUGGAGGAGGAAUGACAGAGGGCAAGAAGAAUCAGCAGGAGCUUGAAUUUAACAAUGAAUCCAGAAAAAAAGAGAAGUCAUAAUAAAUCACAAACAAUAAAAAAACAACGGUUUACUGUCUGCCAGGCUGCCAAACCCCAACCCUCGCCACAUCCGCAGCCACCACGUAAAGUGACUGUUAGAACUUCAAACGAAGGAUCUGACCCCCGGAAAUGGCCUCAUGCUAGUUUUUUCCUAAACAGUCACCAGGAAAAUGACGGAAGGCAAAUCGAAACGCAUGCCCUGAAAGACUUAGAACAUAACCAUCACAUCUGGGGGACAAGAAGCCCACCCCAACUUAAUUUAAAAAGGAAACACAGCAGAUGUCAUCAGUUGGCAGGGAGGUGUCUUGAAGGAAAGAAGGAGGGGAAUGAGAGGGCUGUGAGGAAAGGCCAUAUGAGAACGGUAAUCUACCCAUGUCCACCCACAAAACAGAACGGACCUGUAAAACACUGCACUCCUACCUCAGCCUGGACUCAACAGCCCAGCCCGGCUCCUCCUCAUCCCUGCAUUCUUGGAACUGUGCUCAUGGUCCGAGCCGGCCUGCCGGCGAUCAGUCUUCCCCCUGACAAGCCUCACUGGAAAACUGUUUCUUUUUUUCCCCUUGAAAGGGUCUGUGUCAACUGCCUCUACAAAUGCCAGACUGUCGAUUCAUCAUCAUUACAGAGAAUGGAAGAUAAUCACUUCAAUGACAUCUUCAUCCU
Molecule: long non-coding RNA, 924 nt
Filed under: Homo sapiens (human)
Lineage: Eukaryota; Metazoa; Chordata; Mammalia; Primates; Hominidae
Description: long non-coding RNA NONHSAT221041.1
Source: RNAcentral